AUUGAACGCUGGCGGUAUGCCUUACACAUGCAAGUCGAACGGUAGAGGGGCAACCCUUGAGAGUGGCGAACGGGUGAGUAAUACAUCGGAACGUGCCCAGUCGUAGGGGAUAACGUAGCGAAAGCUACGCUAAUACCGCAUACGACCUGAGGGUGAAAGCGGGGGGAUCGCAAGACCUCGCGCGAUUGGAGCGGCCGAUGGCAGAUUAGGUAGUUGGUGGGUAAAGGCCUACCAAGCCUGCGAUCUGUAGCUGGUCUGAGAGGACGACCAGCCACACUGGGACUGAGACACGGCCCAGACUCCUACGGAGGCAGCAGUGGGGAAUUUUGGACAAUGGGCGAAAGCCUGAUCCAGCCAUACCGCGUGCGGGAGAAGGCCUCGGUUGUAACCG
Molecule: ribosomal RNA, 391 nt
Filed under: uncultured bacterium
Lineage: Bacteria
Description: bacterial SSU rRNA
Rfam family: Bacterial small subunit ribosomal RNA
Source: RNAcentral